ACUUUCAUGUGUCGAUAAUCAAGUUUAAUACCGAUAAUAUUGAAAAUAAUUCUAAUAAUAUGAAACAAAAAGUUUGGUAUUUACAUGCACAGAAAUUUUGAAGAUAUGAAUACUUGUUAAAUGUUUGGAAUAAUUCAUUGCAUUGUAUAUCGAGUACUACUAAUUCAAUUUAGACGCUGUAUUUCUAAAGAAAAAUGUGCUCUAUAGCUGACAAAGAAGUGUGAACAUUUUGCAUUGAUACAAAAUGGUGUAAAUUAAUGAAACAACUAAUUAAAUAGGAACCAAAUUUUGAUAGAAUCUUGAUCGUUUCCAGUGAGUUCUUGAAAAUGUUUGGUCACCACGCUGAAAUAACACACAUCUUCUAAGGCACGAAACAGUUUGAUUUUCAGGAGGGGAAAA
Molecule: long non-coding RNA, 399 nt
Filed under: Mytilus galloprovincialis (Mediterranean mussel)
Lineage: Eukaryota; Metazoa; Mollusca; Bivalvia; Mytilida; Mytilidae
Source: RNAcentral